AGGAGCAACAGCCCCAGUGGCGGGGCCAGCUCUGGAAACCUGGAUUCAGCUCCGGCAGGAACUCUGGAGCUCUCCGUCUGCAGGGCCUGGAGGCUCCAGGGCGGG
This 105-nucleotide microRNA precursor is filed under the name Canis lupus familiaris (dog). RNAcentral's name for it is "mir-8834 microRNA precursor family". It matches the Rfam family "mir-8834 microRNA precursor family". The record is from Rfam by way of RNAcentral. Lineage: Eukaryota; Metazoa; Chordata; Mammalia; Carnivora; Canidae.